This 459-nucleotide ribosomal RNA is filed under the name uncultured bacterium. Its description in RNAcentral is "partial 16S ribosomal RNA". It matches the Rfam family "Bacterial small subunit ribosomal RNA", at positions 338 to 795 of the family's 1533-position model. The record is from RNAcentral.
CCUACGGGAGACAGCAGUGAGGAAUAUUGGUCAAUGGUCGGGAGACUGAACCAGCCAAGCCGCGUGAGGGAUGAAGGUCCAGAGUAUCGUAAACCUCUUUUGUCAGGGAACAAAGGCGGGGACGUGUCCCCGGCUGAGUGUACCUGACGAACAAGCAUCGGCUAACUCCGUGCCAGCAGCCGCGGUAAUACGGAGGAUGCGAGCGUUAUCCGGAUUUAUUGGGUUUACGGGGUGCGCAGGCGGUCUGUUAAGUCAGCGGUCAAAGCCCGGGGCUCAACCCCGGCCCGCCGUUGAAACUGGCAGUCUCGAGUUGGAGAGAAGUAGGCGGAAUGCGCGGUGUAGCGGUGAAAUGCAUAGAUAUCGCGCAGAACUCCGAUUGCGAAGGCAGCAUGCCGGCUCCACACUGACGCUGAGGCACGAAAGCGUGGGUAUCGAACAGGAUUAGAUACCCUUGUAGUC